Molecule: ribosomal RNA, 388 nt
Filed under: uncultured bacterium
Lineage: Bacteria
Description: bacterial SSU rRNA
Rfam family: Bacterial small subunit ribosomal RNA
Source: RNAcentral
GACGAACGCUGGCGGCGUGCUUAACACAUGCAAGUCGAGCGGUAAGGCCCUUUCGGGGGUACACGAGCGGCGAACGGGUGAGUAACACGUGGGUGACCUGCCUCUAGCUCUGGGAUAAGCCUGGGAAGCUGGGUCUAAUACCGGAUAUGACCUCGCGGUGCAUGUUGCGGGGUGGAAAGCCUUGUGCGGCUAGGGAUGGGCCCGCGGCCUAUCAGCUUGUUGGUGGGGUGAUGGCCUACCAAGGCGACGACGGGUAGCCGGCCUGAGAGGGCGGCCGGCCACACUGGGACUGAGACACGGCCCAGACUCCUACGGGAGGCAGCAGUGGGGAAUCUUGCGCAAUGGGCGAAAGCCUGACGCAGCGACGCCGCGUGAGGGAUGACGGCCU